This 115-nucleotide small nuclear RNA is filed under the name Octodon degus (degu). The record is from RNAcentral. Lineage: Eukaryota; Metazoa; Chordata; Mammalia; Rodentia; Octodontidae.
GUGCUCACUUUGGCAGCACAUAUACUAAAAUUGGAAUGAAACAGAGAAAAUUAGCAUGGCCUCUGCAUGAGCAUGACAUACAGAAAAAAAAACCCAAAGCUGGGAAUUGAUUCUU